This 133-nucleotide ribosomal RNA is filed under the name Glycine max (soybean). Lineage: Eukaryota; Viridiplantae; Streptophyta; Magnoliopsida; Fabales; Fabaceae. The record is from RNAcentral.
AGCUGCGAUCAUACCAGCACUGAUGCACCGGAUCCCAUCAGAACUCCGCAGUUAAGCGUGCUUGGGCGAGAGUAGUACUAGGAUGGGUGACCUCCAAUGGGUGACCUCCUGGAAAGUCCUCGUGUUGCACCUC